CAAGAUUUUCAAGUUGUACUUGUCAUGGUUAAAAGACAGUUAGGUAGAAAACUUUGUUAUUAAAUUUCUUGUUUAAGGGUGCAAUCUGAAUUCAAGUAAAAGUUUUAUAAAUAACACUACAUUAAUACUGAGGCUGUGAAAAUCUAGAGGGAAACUAGGAUUAGAUACCCUAUUAUUCUUGAUAGUAAAUUGAUGUUAAUUAAAUCUACCAGAGUACUACGAAACAUAAUAAAAUUUAAAACUCAAAGGGCUUGGCGGUGCUUUAGACCACUUAGGGGAACCUGUCUCAUAAUCGACAAUCCACGUAAUACCUUACCUUAGUUUGCUUUCAGUAUGUAUACCGUCGUCGGCAGGUAACUUUUAAGAAAUAAGAAGUUAGCAAAAUAAGAUCUAAAAUUGACUUAUCUGUUACGUCAGAUCAUGGUGCAGCUUAUACUGAGGAGAGGAUGGGUUACAAUUAAAAUUUAUAAUUACGAAAGACAACAGGAAUUAUCUAUUGUCGGAAGGAGGACUUAAAAGUAAAUGUAAUUAGAUAAAUUCAUUGAAUAAGGCUCUGAAGCGUGCACACAU
This 570-nucleotide ribosomal RNA is filed under the name Lambis lambis. Its description in RNAcentral is "partial 12S ribosomal RNA". It matches the Rfam family "Bacterial small subunit ribosomal RNA", at positions 595 to 1390 of the family's 1533-position model. The record is from RNAcentral. Lineage: Eukaryota; Metazoa; Mollusca; Gastropoda; Littorinimorpha; Strombidae.